RNAcentral lists this transfer RNA (96 nucleotides) under Acrocarpospora phusangensis. RNAcentral's name for it is "tRNA-Ile". Lineage: Bacteria; Bacillati; Actinomycetota; Actinomycetes; Streptosporangiales; Streptosporangiaceae. The record is from RNAcentral.
GGCACGCUGUGGCUGGUCGCGGGGGCGGCGGUGCUGUGGAUGGCGGCGGGCAUCACCGGCGGGGUGAUCAGCGCGGUCCGGCCGCGCAGCGUCCUG